This 642-nucleotide long non-coding RNA is filed under the name Ursus maritimus (polar bear). Its description in RNAcentral is "lncRNA (ENSUMAG00000015048.1)". Lineage: Eukaryota; Metazoa; Chordata; Mammalia; Carnivora; Ursidae. The record is from RNAcentral.
UCAGACGUCCACUCUGUCCCCGUGUCUGCAGAGCCGUGAAACAGAGCUCCUCGCGGUGCUAGCAGUGGGCACUCGCCCGUAACCACAGAGCUGGGGCUGCGGCCUUUGGGCCACAGCGAGAAGAGGACGCACUGUGGGCGAGGCUGCGGGCGAGAUGGAGGCAGGGAGCAGGGAGGACACGGAGCCACAGGGUAAGCACAGGACAGGUCCCUGCCUGGCGGCUGCGCACCACAAGACACAGGGACGCCAACUGGACUCCGUUACCGCCGCCUCGACCGGGUACAAGGGGAGGCCGAUUUCCAUGGCGCUUUGUUAAAGCGAACUCUGUAUAAACAGUUCUAUACAAAGAUGUAGCGUAUGACUGCCGGCCGCCCCCUUCAUGCUCAGCGGUCGGGGACCGUCACGGUCCUGGGGCACAGUCUGAUGCAGCCAUUAACAAUGAUGUUUAGGGGUGCCUAACAUCAGUCCCUGGAGCUCAGGCCCUCGAGCAUCUGGCUCUUGAUUUCGGCUCAGGUCAUGACCUCAGGGUCAUGGCAUCGAGCCCCGAGUCGGGCUCCACGCUCAGCAGGGAGUCUGCUUGAGGUUCUCUCUCCCUCUGCCCCUCCCCCAGCUCGCAGGCUCUCUAAAUAAAUAAAUAAAUAA